RNAcentral lists this ribosomal RNA (468 nucleotides) under uncultured bacterium. Its description in RNAcentral is "partial 16S ribosomal RNA". It matches the Rfam family "Bacterial small subunit ribosomal RNA", at positions 28 to 507 of the family's 1533-position model. The record is from RNAcentral.
GACGAACGCUGGCGGCGUGCUUAACACAUGCAAGUCGAACGGAAAGGCCCUGCUUUUGUGGGGUGCUCGAGUGGCGAACGGGUGAGUAACCCGUGAGUAACCUGCCCUUGACUUUGGGAUAACUUCAGGAAACUGGGGCUAAUACCGGAUAGGAGCUCCUGCUGCAUGGUGGGGGUUGGAAAGUUUCGGCGGUUGGGGAUGGACUCGCGGCUUAUCAGCUUGUUGGUGGGGUAGUGGCUUACCAAGGCUUUGACGGGUAGCCGGCCUGAGAGGGUGACCGGCCACAUUGGGACUGAGAUACGGCACAGACUCCUACGGGAGGCAGCAGUGGGGAAUAUUGCACAAUGGGCGGAAGCCUGAUGCGGCAACGCCGCGUGGGGGAUGACGGCCUUCGGGUUGUAAACCGCUUUCGCCUGUGACGAGGCGUGAGUGACGGUAAUGGGUGAAGAAGCACCGGCUAACUACGUG